Molecule: ribosomal RNA, 492 nt
Filed under: uncultured bacterium
Lineage: Bacteria
Description: partial 16S ribosomal RNA
Rfam family: Bacterial small subunit ribosomal RNA
Source: RNAcentral
AGUGAACGCUGGCGGUAGGCCUAACACAUGCAAGUCGAACGGCAGCACAGUAAGAGCUUGCUCUUACGGGUGGCGAGUGGCGGACGGGUGAGGAAUACAUCGGAAUCUACUUUUUCGUGGGGGAUAACGUAGGGAAACUUACGCUAAUGCCGCAUACGACCUACGGGUGAAAGCAGGGGAUCUUCGGACCUUGGGCGAUUGAAUGAGCCGAGGUCGGAUUAGCUAGUUGGCGGGGUAAAGGCCCACUAAGGCGACGAUCCGUAGCUGGUCUGAGAGGAUGAUCAGCCACACUGGAACUGAGACACGGUCCAGACUCCUACGGGAGGCAGCUGUGGGGAAUAUUGGACAAUGGGCGCAAGCCUGAUCCAGCCAUACCGCGUGGGUGAAGAAGGCCUUCGGGUUGUAAAGCCCUUUUGUUGGGAAAGAAAAGCAGCAGGUUAAUACCCCGCUGUUCUGACGGUACCCAAAGAAUAAGCACCGGCUAACUUCGUG